CCUACGGGGGGCAGCAGUGGGGGAUAUUGCACAAUGGGGGAAACCCUGAUGCAGCGACGCCGCGUGUGGGAAGACGGUCCUCUGGAUUGUAAACCACUGUCCCCAGGGACGAAGAUGACGGUACCUGGGGAGGAAGCUCCGGCUAACUACGUGCCAGCAGCCGCGGUAAUACGUAGGGAGCGAGCGUUGUCCGGAAUUACGGGGUGAAAAGGGAGCGUAGGCGGGACUGCAAGUUGGGUGGCAAAUCUACCGGCUCAACCGGUAGCCGCACUCAAAACUGCAGUUCUUGAGUGAAGUAGAGGCAGGCGGAAUUCCUAGUGUAGCGGUGAAAUGCGUAGAUAUUAGGAGGAACACCAGUGGCGAAGGCGGCCUGCUGGGCUUUUACUGACGCUGAGGCUCGAAAGUGUGGGGAGCAAACAGGAUUAGAUACCCGUGUAGUC
RNAcentral lists this ribosomal RNA (440 nucleotides) under uncultured bacterium. RNAcentral describes it as "partial 16S ribosomal RNA". It matches the Rfam family "Bacterial small subunit ribosomal RNA", at positions 338 to 795 of the family's 1533-position model. The record is from RNAcentral.